This 107-nucleotide non-coding RNA is filed under the name Dechloromonas denitrificans. RNAcentral describes it as "TPP sequence". It matches the Rfam family "TPP riboswitch aptamer (THI element)". Rfam says of the family: Vitamin B(1) in its active form thiamin pyrophosphate (TPP) is an essential coenzyme that is synthesised by coupling of pyrimidine and thiazole moieties in bacteria. The record is from Rfam by way of RNAcentral. Lineage: Bacteria; Pseudomonadati; Pseudomonadota; Betaproteobacteria; Rhodocyclales; Azonexaceae.
UCCACUCGUUAGGGGUGUCGAGCGCCGUUUGCUGUGGCGGUCGACUGAGAAAUACCCUUCGAACCUGACCGGGUCAUGCCGUCGUAGGGAAACGAACUUUGUUGCUC